This 483-nucleotide ribosomal RNA is filed under the name uncultured bacterium. RNAcentral describes it as "partial 16S ribosomal RNA". It matches the Rfam family "Bacterial small subunit ribosomal RNA", at positions 28 to 523 of the family's 1533-position model. The record is from RNAcentral.
GACGAACGCUGGCGGCGUGCUUAACACAUGCAAGUCGAACGAUGAUCAGGAGCUUGCUCCUGUGAUUAGUGGCGAACGGGUGAGUAACACGUGAGUAACCUGCCCCUGACUCUGGGAUAAGCGUUGGAAACGACGUCUAAUACUGGAUAUGAUCACUGGCCGCAUGGUCUGGUGGUGGAAAGAUUUUUUGGUUGGGGAUGGACUCGCGGCCUAUCAGCUUGUUGGUGAGGUAAUGGCUCACCAAGGCGACGACGGGUAGCCGGCCUGAGAGGGUGACCGGCCACCAUGGGACUGAGACACGGCCCAGACUCCUACGGGAGGCAGCAGUGGGGAAUAUUGCACAAUGGGCGAAAGCCUGAUGCAGCAACGCCGCGUGAGGGAUGACGGCCUUCGGGUUGUAAACCUCUUUUAGUAGGGAAGAAGCGAAAGUGACGGUACCUGCAGAAAAAGCACCGGCUAACUACGUGCCAGCCGCCGCCGUAA